CAAGUCGAACGCGAAAGUCCCGCAAGGGAUCAGUAGAGUGGCAAACGGGUGAGUAACGCGUGGGUGACCUGCCUUCGAGCGGGGGAUAACGUUCCGAAAGGGACGCUAAUACCGCAUGACAUCCUGCUUUUUAACAAGUGGAGAUCAAAGCUUGGGACCGCAAGGCCAGGCACUCGAAGAGGGGCCCGCGUCUGAUUAGCUAGUUGGUGGGGUAAUGGCUCACCAAGGCAACGAUCAGUAUCCGGCCUGAGAGGGCGGACGGACACACUGGGACUGAGACACGGCCCAGACUCCUACGGGAGGCAGCAGUGGGGAAUUGUUCGCAAUGGGCGCAAGCCUGACGACGCAACGCCGCGUGGAGGAUGAAGAUCUUCGGGUCGUAAACUCCUUUCGAUCGAGACGAACGGCUUCCGGGUAACAUCCGGGAGAGUGACGGUACCGAGAGAAGAAGCCCCGGCUAACUCCGUGCCAGCAGCCGCGGUAAUACGGGGGGGGCAAGCGUUGUUCGGAAUUACUGGGCGUAAAGGGCUCGUAGGUGGCCAACUAAGUCAGACGUGAAAUCCCUCGGCUUAACCGGGGAACUGCGUCUGAUACUGGAUGGCUUGAGUUUGGGAGAGGGACGCGGAAUUCCAGGUGUAGCGGUGAAAUGCGUAGAUAUCUGGAGGAACACCGGUGGCGAAGGCGGCGUCCUGGACCAACACUGACACUGAUGAGCGAAAGCCAGGGGAGCAAACGGGAUUAGAUACCCCGGUAGUCCUGGCCCUAACGAUGAAUGCUUGGUGUGGCGGGUAUCGAUCCCUGCCGUGCCGAAGCUAACGCAUUAAGCAUU
This 829-nucleotide ribosomal RNA is filed under the name uncultured Pseudomonadota bacterium. Its description in RNAcentral is "bacterial SSU rRNA". It matches the Rfam family "Bacterial small subunit ribosomal RNA", at positions 58 to 868 of the family's 1533-position model. Lineage: Bacteria; Pseudomonadati; Pseudomonadota. The record is from RNAcentral.